UCCAUACCACCUACACAGAUGAAACAGAUGCAGCUUACCAAACAUGGCACAUGGUUUCAUUCAAAUCUAUUUACUGAUCUUACCCAUGAAUAGAAGCUGACUAAAAUUAACUGACCUAAAACGAAAUGCAUGAUGUUAGGAGUGAGGGAAUUACCAGAAGAAACCUCGCAAUCGCCAACCGUUCCUCCUUCUCCUUCGUAGUCUCCGGCUUUCCAAAACUGUUUGGAGUUCUGACAAUUCACCAUUAGACUUCCGUUGUCCCUUGACUCCGGCGGCCGCAUGAUGGCCAAGGCUUUGGAAGUCUCAGUCCGAGAAAGAGGGGCCAAGAAGUUAUCCGGUAACUUCACUCCUGACUCAUUCAACUUCCUCCUCUUUUUGUCUGAACUUCCACCGGUACUACUGGCGCGGGCAUUGCGGCGGCCAUCCUCGGAGUCAGAGUCGGAGUCGCUGCUAGUGAGGUCGAUGAUCACGGAAGAAGAGGGUAUAGGAGAUCUAUCAGCGGCUCGAUUAG
This 511-nucleotide long non-coding RNA is filed under the name Linum usitatissimum (flax). Its description in RNAcentral is "long non-coding RNA (LUSI_LNC001782)". Lineage: Eukaryota; Viridiplantae; Streptophyta; Magnoliopsida; Malpighiales; Linaceae. The record is from RNAcentral.